UACGGGGGGGGCAAGCGUUGUUCGGAAUUACUGGGCGGAAAGGGUUUGUAGGUGGCUUGCUAAGUCAGACGUGAAAUCCCUCAGCUUAACUGGGGAACUGCGUCUGAGACUGGCAAGCUUGAGUGCAGGAGAGGAACGCGGAAUUCCAGGUGUAGCGGUGAAAUGCGUAGAUAUCAGGAGGAACACCGGUGGCGAAGGCGGGUCUCUGGGCCGAAAUUGACGCUGAGGAGCGAAAGCGUGGGGAGCAAACAGG
This 253-nucleotide ribosomal RNA is filed under the name uncultured bacterium. RNAcentral's name for it is "partial 16S ribosomal RNA". It matches the Rfam family "Bacterial small subunit ribosomal RNA", at positions 524 to 776 of the family's 1533-position model. The record is from RNAcentral.